This 394-nucleotide ribosomal RNA is filed under the name uncultured Anaeromyxobacter sp. Its description in RNAcentral is "bacterial SSU rRNA". It matches the Rfam family "Bacterial small subunit ribosomal RNA", at positions 67 to 447 of the family's 1533-position model. The record is from RNAcentral. Lineage: Bacteria; Pseudomonadati; Myxococcota; Myxococcia; Myxococcales; Anaeromyxobacteraceae.
CGAGAAAGCCCGCAAGGGUGAGUACAGCGGCGCACGGGUGCGUAACACGUGGGUAAUCUGCCCUGGAGCCCGGAAUAACUCCCCGAAAGGGGUGCUAAUGCCGGAUGAGCCCACGGGGUCUUCGGACCCUGAGGGAAAAGGUGGCCUCUGUAUACAAGCUAUCACUUCAGGAUGAGCCCGCGGCCCAUCAGCUCGUUGGCGGGGUAAUGGCCCACCAAGGCUACGACGGGUAGCUGGUCUGAGAGGACGAUCAGCCACACUGGAACCGAGACACGGUCCAGACUCCUACGGGAGGCAGCAGUGGGGAAUCUUGCGCAAUGGGCGAAAGCCUGACGCAGCAACGCCGCGUGUGUGAUGAAGGUCUUCGGAUCGUAAAGCACUGUCGCGAGGGACG